ACACUUAAUUUACGAAGCAUCAAAGUGUUACUAUCACAUUAACACCGGGGCCAUUCCAUUUGAGGAUGUUGAAGGGUCCAUCAGGCUGUUGUGAAAAAUAUCCUCCUAAUGGCCUACGCGACUAGGAAAUGACACAAACUAAUUUAGUACGCACACGACCCGCGUUCUCAAAUGCGGGCAUAUACAAAAUGCCUUAUCUAUGGACGUGUGAUAAUACUGUCAACCAAUUUUGUGUUGUCAAAAGUUCAUCACGUUAGAGUAGAAAUCACGAAACAUGAACCGGGAAUGUCAAGAAUAAGAUGAUCACGAACUUAUAUCAACGAAUGGCCUGAACAUGAUAUCGUUGUCCUCAAAUGAUAUUUGCCCCUUCUCCUAUUGAUUUGAGAUGCUUCGAAGGUUGAUGGCAAAUGAUUUGUAAGAUUUUAACAAGCCUUAACAAGAAUUAAUCACCAAAGCACAAGUGAAAAUCCUUGAAAACUUGAAAAACACAAAGUUUGA
Molecule: long non-coding RNA, 498 nt
Filed under: Olea europaea (common olive)
Lineage: Eukaryota; Viridiplantae; Streptophyta; Magnoliopsida; Lamiales; Oleaceae
Description: long non-coding RNA (OEUR_LNC009214)
Source: RNAcentral